CCUACGGGUGGCAGCAGUGGGGAAUAUUGGACAAUGGGGGCAACCCUGAUCCAGCCAUGCCGCGUGUGUGAAGAAGGCCCUCGGGUUGUAAAGCACUUUCAGUGAGGAAGAACGCCUGGUGGUUAAUACCCAUCAGGAAAGACAUCACUCACAGAAGAAGCACCGGCUAACUCCAUGCCAGCAGCCGCGGUAAUACGGAGGGUGCGAGCGUUAAUCGGAAUUACUGGGCGUAAAGCGCGCGUAGGUGGCUUGAUAAGCCGGUUGUGAAAGCCCCGGGCUCAACCUGGGAACGGCAUCCGGAACUGUCAAGCUAGAGUGCAGGAGAGGAAGGUAGAAUUCCCGGUGUAGCGGUGAAAUGCGUAGAGAUCGGGAGGAAUACCAGUGGCGAAGGCGGCCUUCUGGACUGACACUGACACUGAGGUGCGAAAGCGUGGGUAGCAAACAGGAUUAGAUACCCUUGUAGUC
RNAcentral lists this ribosomal RNA (465 nucleotides) under Vreelandella stevensii. Its description in RNAcentral is "partial 16S ribosomal RNA". It matches the Rfam family "Bacterial small subunit ribosomal RNA", at positions 338 to 795 of the family's 1533-position model. The record is from RNAcentral. Lineage: Bacteria; Pseudomonadati; Pseudomonadota; Gammaproteobacteria; Oceanospirillales; Halomonadaceae.